AUUGAACGCUGGCGGCAUGCCUUACACAUGCAAGUCGAACGGUAACGGGUCCUUCGGGAUGCCGACGAGUGGCGAACGGGUGAGUAAUAUAUCGGAACGUGCCCAGUAGUGGGGGAUAACUGCUCGAAAGAGCAGCUAAUACCGCAUACGACCUGAGGGGGAAAGGGGGGGAUCGCAAGACCCCUCGCUAUUGGAGCGGCCGAUAUCAGAUUAGCUAGUUGGUGGGGUAAAGGCCUACCAAGGCAACGAUCUGUAGUUGGUCUGAGAGGACGACCAGCCACACUGGGACUGAGACACGGCCCAGACUCCUACGGGAGGCAGCAGUGGGGAAUUUUGGACAAUGGGCGCAAGCCUGAUCCAGCAAUGCCGCGCGCAGGAAGAAGGCCUUCGGGUUGUAAACUGCUUUUGUCAGGGAAGAAAUCUUCUGGGCUAAUACCCCGGGAGGAUGACGGUACCUGAAGAAUAAGCACCGGCUAACUACGUGCCAGCCGCCGCAGUAA
This 500-nucleotide ribosomal RNA is filed under the name uncultured bacterium. RNAcentral describes it as "partial 16S ribosomal RNA". It matches the Rfam family "Bacterial small subunit ribosomal RNA", at positions 30 to 523 of the family's 1533-position model. The record is from RNAcentral.